RNAcentral lists this ribosomal RNA (440 nucleotides) under uncultured bacterium. RNAcentral's name for it is "partial 16S ribosomal RNA". It matches the Rfam family "Bacterial small subunit ribosomal RNA", at positions 338 to 795 of the family's 1533-position model. The record is from RNAcentral.
CCUACGGGGGGCUGCAGUGGGGGAUAUUGCACAAUGGGGGAAACCCUGAUGCAGCGACGCCGCGUGGGUGAAGAAGUAUUUCGGUAUGUAAAGCUCUAUCAGCAGGGAAGAAAAUGACGGUACCUGAUUAAGAAGCCCCGGCUAACUACGUGCCAGCAGCCGCGGUAAUACGUAGGGGGCAAGCGUUAUCCGGAUUUACUGGGUGUAAAGGGGGCGUAGACGGCAGCACAAGUCUGGAGUGAAAUGCCGGGGCUUAACCCCGGAACUGCUUUGGAAACUGUGCAGCUAGAGUGCAGGAGAGGUAAGUGGAAGUCCUAGUGUAGCGGUGAAAUGCGUAGAUAUUAGGAGGAACACCAGUGGCGAAGGCGGCUUACUGGACUGUAACUGACGUUGAGGCUCGAAAGCGUGGGGAGCAAACAGGAUUAGAUACCCGUGUAGUC